CAAGGCCGUGCCCUAUUGGCCGCAGUUCGGGGCUCAGCCAAUCGCGGCGCGGGCCGUGCGGCAUUGUGGGGGCUGUAGUCUCGCGGUGGCCGCCCACUGGACCAGGAGCACGAGGUGCGGCGCCCAGACGGCGCGUAGCCAGAUGGCCGGCUGAGGAGUGCAGGUUCGCGGUGAAAAGACGGAGAGCGUGAAGGCGGUGAGGAAGACAGCGACGCCGCGGUGCCAGGAGAGAAGCUGGCGGGAGGCGCCGCUCUGGGGGGGAGGCGGUGGAGGAAGAACUUCGUGCAAAGGCCCUGAGGCAGGAGGAGAGCGAGGGCCCAGCGCGGGCCCGGAGUGCGGGAGCGUGCAGAGCAGACCCGGAGGCGGGCUGAAGCUGCUGACUCGCGUUGAUCUGCCACAGUGGGCCCGGAGCUGAGUUUGGGAUCUGGAACUGGGGAACCCCCGACUGCUCCAUGAAAUAGCAAAAUGUGGCUGUGCGGGACAUGGCAUUCCCGGCCACCAGAGAAUGCUCUUUACCUGCACGUCUGAACAUGUGGCUUCCUCGGCUGACUCAGCAGGACGAGUGAGCCUCAGAGCCUAGAGAACCGAGCCCCAGCUUUCCCUGCCUCGGCAACUGUCACCCCCAUUCACAUCCACUGGCCGUUCAGGCCCACUGCCCCUCCCACCUACAAGAGUGGGGAAGUGCCGUCUGCUGUGAGUAGAAGGAGAAAGGAAACGUCUGAACACUAGACCAUCAGGCACAACUGGUGAAUGAACAGCUCACAGACCCCUUACUGUUUCCUGAGAAGGUCCAUGUAAGAAAGAUGUACUGAUAAUAACCGAGAAACUCGAGACGCUGAAAGGUCACACUGAGACAAAAUCACAAUCCAUUCUGUGCACGGGUGUCGUGACGACAGCAUACACACAUCUUCUGCCACACAGUAACUGUGUUCCAUGGAUCUUCUGUCUUACCAAGGUGUUUCCUGGGUGCUAAGAUGGUCACCCAGCGAUGCGGGCACGUGUGUACCUUUGAAAGCAAGUUGUCGUCUCUUGCCUGACUUUCCCUUCUGCUGUGUGCUGAGACACGCUUCCUCUGGGCUAAAGUUUGGAGACCACUGGGGAGGAGUGGAGCCCUGAUGAGAAGGGGGCUGGAGUGACGGAUACUCUCGUGCAGGAGGCUCGGGGGGCCCACGGUCUGGGAGCCGCCCAGAGGAGUCACCGAGGGAGUGGGGCCCCAGUGCUGGGGAGCAUGUCCGUGUUUUAUGUGACUCUUCACCUCUGAGCCUCAGGCUCCUUGUCUGUAGGAUGGGGGUGACGCAGCCCCUGGUAACCACCCCCCUGCAGGCCAGGAAAAUGAGAGUAGCUGGAUGUGGGGCCAUUUGUAGUGUUCAGGAUGUCUGGGCUCACGUUGAGGCUUUUGCUGAGCGGACUGUGAGCUGGAUGGCUUCUGAGAGGUGGAGGAUAGGGGCGGAGCCAGCUCCGUUGAAGGAGAGUGGGCUUUGGAGUGAAGGAAGAAAGGCAGAAACCUGGUUGGAGAGGAAAUAUGGGAAAGGCGGUUAUGAUUCCAAGUGGCAGAUGGAUAGAUUUUGUUCAGUAAUACAUGGUAGGACCCUCUCUUUCUUCCCAUGUAAUUCAUUUUCACUGAAGUUUGCCUCAGUCAGCAGUGCCUUUAAAUUGGAUUAGGUAGUUUCAUUUGUGUCUGGCCCCAGGCAGGCUCAAGGAACCUCCCCCAAAUCCAUCCUUGGACCAUCAGUAAGAACCCUUGAGAGGAUAGUUGGCCAACGGUGGCCCUAGGGAAGGAAGUGGCAGGGCCCUGAGUAGGAGGAGAAUGGGCUGUGGCGGGGAAAACUGCGGAAAGGCUGGUUGGAUCGUGAGGACAGAGGCCUUGAAUGCUGGGUAUGUCCUUCCACCCUGAGGCACGGCAGUGGAAGACUCUUGGUUUGGGGGCUGUGCUUUGGGAAGCUCUCUGCAGCCCCACAGUGGAGGACAUCUUUGCAGUAGCUGUGGAGGUAGAUGGCUGAUGACAGGGCCCGUCCCUGAAGCACAGCCUGCCCCUCACCAGCACCCUCCCCACUGCCCCGGCCUGGCAGACACUGGUGGUCCGGGAACCUCCUCUCUCCAGCCUUGCGCUUCCCCAGGGAGGGACAGGCAUUAGCGUGACACUCGGGUAGAAGUUCGUGCGGGGAUUCGGCCUGUGACACCGUGGCAGCCCUCUCCUCUCCCCUCCCCUCCCCUCUCCUCUCCCCUCCCCUCCCCUCCCCUCCCCUCCCCCCCCCCUCCCCCCUCCCCCUCCCCUCCCCCCCCUCGCCUCGCCUCGCCUCGCCUCGCCUCUCCUCUCCUCUCCUCUCCUCUCCUCUGCCAGCCUGGGUUCAGAGCAUCACACCUGCUCACCUCUGUCCGCCCAGCUGGAGGGAGCAGCUGCGGAAGGGCGCUCUCCCUUUCAGCACAAAGCAAUCUCUCCCAGAAGCCAGUCUCUCCUGGAGUCACGCUGGUCACCCCAGCCAGGGCCUGCCCCGGCAGAGGGGGCAGGGUGGCCACGGCAGGUUAAACCUGCGCGGAUCACUCCCCAGGCCUGACGGAACCAGCCGCCGGCACCGGUAAGCGGCCCCCUUACGGUGCCCCCCUCAAGCACCCCUUUCAGCUGCUCUCGGGACCGGGCGGCUGCGUGCAUAAGCGUGCCCGGGAGGGACAGGGCGCACCGGCCGCCGGGAGCCUGCGCCCCAGCGCCUCCCCAGGACGGUCACCCCCUGUCGCGGUUCUCCUGAGGGCAGCUUGCUGCGCGUGGGCGGCUGGGGACCGUGGGCGCUGUGAGCUCAGUGGGAAGGGAGAGACGCUGGCUCAGCAAAGCCGCGUGGGCCACGGACUGCGGCGGCGUCGCCGGAGCGGAGUCCGGUCAGCCUAUUGCAGCCUCCUGGCGGAUCAGUCUGGCUGUACGCGCCCCACCCCCGCACACGCAUGCACACGCAGGUACGCACGCGCAGGUACACACAUGCGUACGCACGUGCCCGCCCACGGCUGUAACCUGAGCUGGGCUUCCCGUCUCCAGCACAGGCUCUGGCCCUGCUCCUGACCCUGAGGCUCCAGCUACAUCCCUGAAUUCCGGGCACCUGGCACAGGGCAUGGGACGGAGCGGGCGCUCAAGGCAUCGGUGACUGAGUCACUGACUGGCUGGCUGAAUGGGCUCCCCUACUGGUGAGUGCGUUGCUCCAGGUUCAGAGAGGCAAGAAACUGAGUAAUUAAGAGUGAAGAUUUUCUUCUCAGUCCCAGCUCGGCUGCCCGUGUGGUCUCCAAAAAGUUCCUUCACCUCCCUCUGCCACGGUUUCCCCAUCUGUAAAACAGGCAUAAGCACAGUACCUACCUGUAGCGCUGAUGUGGGAUUGCAUGAGUUAAUACAUGUCAUGGACCCAGAACAAUACCUGGCAAAGAGGGAAGCACUCAGUUAUCACUAGUUAUUGCUGUGCUACACAUCAUCCAAAGGAGCCUGCCAGCUGAGGCUCAGACAGGGGACAUGGCUUGCCUGAGGUCACACAGCAGGAAGGAGGCAGACAUGAGAUCUGAACCCUGGUCCCAACGUCUCAGAAGCCAGAGCCCUUUCUAGGGUCCCACCUGGCUGUGGCGCCUCCCUUGAAGCAUGGCCUGCCGGGCCCUUGGGUGCGGGGCUUGGGAACUGGGGUGAAGGCCCGGGAAAGGGGGUUGGGGUGAGGGAGGGCAAGAGGGUCUGCUGGGGAGACCGUCCUGGUACUGGCUCCCUGCCCCACUCUCGAUCCCUUGCACCCCCUGCAGCUGCAUCCACUCCCCACCAUGGGACUCUUACAGAGUUUUAUGAAUCAUUAAAAUGUAUGCACAGACUUUAAGGAAGUAACACUGGGCUGUAAUAAGAGCUACAAAUUGACAGGAUUCCUCAGAGAGCUCAGUGGUAAACCUGGUUGCCUACUUGGCAAGAUGGUUUUCCAGCCUUUUGCGUCUAUUAGCAGGGGAAGGGAGGGACCGACCAGGGAGUGCCCCAUGAGCUCUGAGCAGCCAUAGGAGGCUCCUUCAGAGCGGCCUAUGCCAGAGCAGCGGCCACACCAGAGCGUUGGGGGGGACCGUUACCUCCCUCCCAUCAUCUCCGUCACCCCUCUCAGCCAUGCUAAACAAAAUACCCUCUAAGUGGAAGCCUUGUGUUUGCAUUGCAAAUGGAGCUUCAAGAUAGCCUCCCAGGUUUUCACCUGUGUGAUAGAGAAGAACAUUUGUUUUAAUUUUAGUUGCAAUUCCCUGACUAUUACUGUAUCUAAAGCUCAGCAUCUUUACAUUUGUGCUGGUCCUUGAUACUCUUUUAUCUGUGAAUCACCUUCUCAUACACCUGGCCCCCCUUGCUUGUUUUGUUCUGUUUUGGUUUGGGUCCUUUCGUUACUGGUUUGCAGGAGCUUUUAUAAGCUCUAGCUGUCACUCCUCUUUUCCAGUGCUCUAUUUUCUCCCAUCUGCCACUUGUCUUUUAACUGUAGGUCAUUUUUUGACAAACAAGUUCAAACUUUUUUCAUUCAGAUAUCUAAUUCAUGCUCUUUUUUGGGUUGUAGAUUUUACGUAUUAAUAAGGAAGUAUCUCCUACUGAACUUGUAAACAGUUUUUUAACGUUUACCUUUUAAAACCAUUUGCAGUUUAUUUUUUAUUAUGCUAUGGGAUUAUGCUGGAUAGAAUGUUUUCGUAUAAAUAGCCAAUUAUGUAGAUUUUAUAUAUAGCCCUUAUCAUUUAUUGAAUAUUUUGUUUUGCCACUGAAUUUAAAAAGCCAACUUCAUGAUAAACUAUUUUCCGUAUGUACAUAGUACACUGCUAGAUUUGUUUCUCUAUUCUUUAGCUUUUUUAUAGCAACUCACCACUGAUUUAACUACUAUAACUUUAUCAGAUAUUUGGAUAUCUGACAAGGCAAGUCCCCUCAUUGUUUUUCUCUUUUAAAUUUUCUUGACCACCUCUGGAGAUUUCCCUUCUCGGGGAAAGAAAUCAUCUUGUCAUAUACCAUUAACAGUCUUCCUGAGAUUUCAACUGGGGUUCCAUUGGAUUUAUAGAUUAAUUUAUGGGAGAGCUGAUAUAGCUAACUCUUCUUGAAGGCCUUUCAGUAAAGUUUGGUAGCUUUCUUUAUUUAGUAUUUAAACAUU
Mesoplodon densirostris (Blainville's beaked whale) is the source of this 5111-nucleotide long non-coding RNA. RefSeq lists it as uncharacterized. NCBI's taxonomy places the organism in Eukaryota, Metazoa, Chordata, Mammalia, Artiodactyla, Ziphiidae. The transcript has 3 exons. The record is from RefSeq and is a predicted model, not a curated record.